GCUUGCCGCUGCCCGCGGGGGGAGAGGAAAGUCCGGGCAACACAGGGCAUCCCGCUUCCUAACAGGAAGAGGUCCGCGAGGGUCAGUCAGUGCAGAAGAAAACAACCGCCUUGCUCCGGCAGAGCAAUCUGCAGGGGCAGGUAAGGGUGAGAAGGUGAGGUAAGAGCUCACCAGGCCGGCAGCGAUGUCGGUGCUGUGCACUCCGGGAGUUGAAAGUUCAUGUAAACCGGCAAUCUUCCUACGGAAGGAGAGGGCGGCCCGUCCGAGCCGGAGGGUAGAACGAUAGAGGGCAGUGGCGACGCUGUCCGUAGAUAAAUGGCAAGUGCUCCCCCCCAUAGGGGGGAUGACAGAACCCGGCUUACAGGUUCACUG
Molecule: RNase P RNA, 372 nt
Filed under: bovine gut metagenome
Description: Bacterial RNase P class A
Rfam family: Bacterial RNase P class A
About the family: Ribonuclease P (RNase P) is a ubiquitous endoribonuclease, found in archaea, bacteria and eukarya as well as chloroplasts and mitochondria. Its best characterised activity is the generation of mature 5'-ends of tRNAs by cleaving the 5'-leader elements of precursor-tRNAs.
Source: RNAcentral